Molecule: long non-coding RNA, 504 nt
Filed under: Corvus moneduloides (New Caledonian crow)
Lineage: Eukaryota; Metazoa; Chordata; Aves; Passeriformes; Corvidae
Description: lncRNA (ENSCMUG00000017252.1)
Source: RNAcentral
GUUGUUUAUAGCUGUUUAAUAUGACCUAUGUGCAGUUCUGGAAAACCAGUGCAUCAGCUUUGGCAUCUAGUAACAAGACUGGCAUCAGCCAAGAGAGCCUUAUACACCUUCCACAUCUGGGACACCUACCCACUAGCCAGAAAUGAAUGAUGCACGGCUGAGACAAAGAUAAAAUCCUUUUGUGCUGCCCAUUCUUUCUGCAGAUCGUGGCCCAUGAAACCAGACUGGUGAAAGGACACAGUGUUACCACCACACCUCUCAGCUCCUCUGCCUGGCUCAUUUUGGUGAUCUGGUUUGCAGAGCCACCCCUGAAACUUUUCCUCCAGAGCAGCCAAGAGAGAAAGGAGCUGCCCUGCUCAGGGUUACAUGGAAAAGUGAAACCUUGGAGACAGGAAAGAAAGAGACAACAGGUUAUUACAGACCUCACUGCUGUCCUGAGUGAUUCUUCCUUUUCUCCAUAUAGUGAAUUAGCUCCUUGUAGAAGAUUUGAGUUCAAGUAUUAAG